This 460-nucleotide ribosomal RNA is filed under the name uncultured bacterium. RNAcentral describes it as "partial 16S ribosomal RNA". It matches the Rfam family "Bacterial small subunit ribosomal RNA", at positions 338 to 795 of the family's 1533-position model. The record is from RNAcentral.
CCUACGGGAGGCAGCAGUGAGGAAUAUUGGUCAAUGGACGAGAGUCUGAACCAGCCAAGUAGCGUGAAGGAUGACUGCCCUACGGGUUGUAAACUUCUUUUAUAUGGGAAUAAAAUGGGUCACGUAUACCUUUUUGUAUGUACUUUAUGAAUAAGGAUCGGCUAACUCCGUGCCAGCAGCCGCGGUAAUACGGAGGAUCCGAGCGUUAUCCGGAUUUAUUGGGUUUAAAGGGAGCGUAGAUGGGUUGUUAAGUCAGUUGUGAAAGUUUGCGGCUCAAACGUAAAAUUGCAAUUGAUACUGGCAGUCUUGAGUACAGUUGAGGUGGGCGGAAUUCGUGGUGUAGCGGUGAAAUGCUUAGAUAUCACGAAGAACUCCGAUUGCGAAGGCAGCUCACUAAACUGCAACUGACACUGAUGCUCGAAAGUGUGGGUAUCAAACAGGAUUAGAUACCCCAGUAGUC